Molecule: long non-coding RNA, 12058 nt
Filed under: Gallus gallus (chicken)
Lineage: Eukaryota; Metazoa; Chordata; Aves; Galliformes; Phasianidae
Source: RNAcentral
GUAGUUUCUGUUAACAUUUGUUGUCAUAUUUUGCUUGAAGAAUUAGAAAUCAAUGGCAUAGCAGGUGGCAGACAAUCCAGGAGAUUCCUUGAGUUGAGGACAACUUCCUUGUCCAGAAUGCCUAGGCAUAGAGGAAGAGGCUCAUCCACACAAGACUCACGGACUUAAAGAGGAGCCAAAAACCCUCAUCAGAAGAGUUAGUUCCCUCUAGCCAUGUUUGCAGUGGUGGGACUCCAGCUCAGAGAGGAUUGUACUGCCUAGCUGCUCCUGGAGGUCUGUGGAAAAGGGACAUGGCCACCACUUCCCAGGAGCUUGGCUGAGGCUGCCACCAUACUCAGAUUAAGCCUUCCACGGCCUUUGGUCAACCAAUGGGAGUCUCAGAAGGCAUGAAAAGUAUUGACCAGUUUUCUAACCUAACAACUUCUCCAGUCCUAGAAGAAAAUGCUCCAGUCCUAGUUCUGGACUCCAGGGAAACUAGGAAAUGAAGUUGUGGCUUGGAGUCAGUCAUUAUUUAUGGCAUUUGGCACGUAAAACCCUGAUGAACCAGAAGCAAAAUGAAAGAAAGGAGAACUGUAAACAAGGUCUUUCAGUGCUAAUUUUAACUCCAGGAUGACAAAUAGAGGUAUAGCAAUACAACAACUACAGCAACUUCAAUCAUUUUCCUAUAUUUAGUACCUCAAAAUUCAAGUUGACAGGUAUGCCUCACCUAAAUUCUGACGCGUGUCAUCUCCUGAUUUAUGAGUGCUUGGUUUUGCAGAACAAAUAAAAUUCUCCCCGUUACUUAAUGGUGCUGAAGAUAUUUCUUCUCUUACCUUUCGUUAUCUUCUUUUUCUGUUGCUACUCAUAUCUGUCACCAGUCAUGUCUUUAAAUCCUUCCAUAGAUAACCUGUUCUAUGACUUUCUCAAGCUUCUAUUUUAUGUCACAGUGUUUUUUCCCUUUGCUUUCUAUAUCAUUGGUGUACAAUCUUCAGAGUAUCAAGCAACUUACAGAGUGGCUUGAAAAGCUGAAUCACAUUGAACUCAAUGUCUGAGAGUCAGUAUUCUUUGCAACUGCUAAUAGCUUUGAGCAAGCCAGUUUAUUUUUCAGUGUUUCACUUUCUUCCCCUGAUUUCUAGUAAUGCAGAUAGAGUUCUCUUUUCUGAGUAAAAUGUAAUCUGGUAGAUAGCAAAUUGGGUUGGUAGCAGGAAAAGGGGAGAGCUUUCAUCAUAAGAAUAAAAUGGACCUAAAGGUUUUAUAAAUUAAAGGCCAAUUAUUCCCAGGAGUGCAUGGGGAGCCUUCCACAGCAAUCACUCUUGAGAAUCUGAAGGCAGAACAGGGCCUCGACCAUCUGUAUUUGGACUUUGUCAGGCCAUUUGUUUGUAACCGGAAUUGUAUUGUUGCUCUGGUUUUCAGUAAAGGGAUGUUCACUGAGGCAUCACAUUGAUAUUUUUGAAGUACGUUCCAUGUUUUCAAAGAAACAAAUUUAUCAGCAAUGAAUUGAAAUGUCUAGCUGUUUCCGUAUGCUGUAGAGAUUUCACAUCAUGCUGCUGUGCAUGUGCAUUCAUUUUUCACCUGCUGGAUGUAAUGGGAACAAGUUCAAUACAUGAAUGAAAGCAUGUUAACAAGGAAGUGAUUUGGCCAAACCAUGCUUCUUCCUCCUAACAGAUAAAAAAAGCCCUGAAAAAACAAAGGCUGAAGGCACAAGCUUGUUUUCAUUAAUCAUAAAUCAGAGACGAUCCCCAAAUAGUAUAGUAGGAGGCAAUGUUGACAGUAGACCUGUGGGAUUUUAACAAACUCGGCUCCUGUUCUUUGUUUUACCUAUAUCUAGGUUAACUACUGUCUGAAAGAGCUUUGUGGGAAAAUCUCAUCUUAUUAUCUUAAAUAAAAAGAGCUGACUAUUUGUGGAAAAACUCAUCAGGCUUUCAUUUUCAAGUCCUGUACAAGGCUGACCCUUUGUCUGAAGUAUUAAAAAUCCCACAGUGGAUGUAUAAAUUAUGGCCUAUAGUAAGGACUUUGGGACAUUCCACUGAGUAUGUUCACAAAAUUUGAGUAAGGCUGUUGUUCCAGAUGAUGCAUGUGGCUCACAAUCCUGAGAGCUGAAAAGCUCCCUGCAAGACCAAGAGGCCAACCAGACUGAUUCUUUGGACUUUGAACCUCCAAUGUUACCUGCUAAUAUGGCACAUAGAGCCAUGACUGAAAGUGCCUGGGUACUAUGAGGAACACCUAUACUUCUGGGACCAACAGACCUCAGUCUGCAUCAUGGUUGACAGGAUUGCAAUAUCUGGUAUAUUUUCUGCAGUAUUUCUCAGCAAAAAGAGCAAGGCUAGAGAUGAAAAUUCGAAAAACCUCUUAAUGGAGUAUUUUAAAGUCUAGGAUCACAGCUUUUGAGGUCCCUAGUACCAAUGAAACAACCAACUAGAUACUGUGGGUCAGAAGGAGAAAAGAGGAAGAGAGGGAAAGGAAACUACAUUGAAGGAAGGUGAUUCUGUUUGGAAAAAAUGUCUCAUACAGUUUGGCAACUCUUACCAUGCUGUUGCCAACUUGCAAGUUCAUAUGAGGUUUACAGCAAGUUACAGGAAGAAUAAAAUGUUAAUCAUGUGCAGAACCUUAGUUGUAUUCUCGCCAUCUAUUUCAACAACAGUAAUAGCAUACAGACUAAGAAGUGAUUACAGAAUGACAUAAGCUUCUUUUCCAUUUGAAUUUGAAAAUGUAUUUCCAUUUAAAGCUUAAUUUUUAUGUGCUUCAUCCAAAAUUAAGAAAACAAGAGGAUGUGAUUUCCAAGCACUAUAUAUAGGCUGGAUCUGGUGUCAAGUUUUUCUAACAGUUAUUAGCGGUGUUAAAAGCAGUGACUUUUAACACAGUAUCUAAAAAAAACUUACCAGCAUUUUAUGGUGGCUUAAAAAAAAUACAAAGGACAACAAGUUGAAACAUGGGAAAGAUCAGUGACAAAGGUACUUAGUCAACAAAAGACUUAACUGCAUGUUGCAGAUUGUAUCUUCUUACAAAAGCCUUUCAUUAAUGAACUAUGUGUUAGAAAGUCUGUUCAGCUGAUUAAACUUUUCUAUAUCUGAAAUUGUUUAUGAGUUAUAAUUACCUCCUUCAAAACCUUCUUUCUUCUUGUAACUGGCUACAGACUUGAUGAAAAGUAUUCAGUCUUUUCCUUUCACACAAUACAAAUGGUGUGCUAAUUUUUGCCCAUGGAAAAACUAUGCUUUCAAAUACAACAAACAUCUUUAUUAUCACCUUAGUAUGCACUGGAGUCAUCCUGAUGUAUUGUAAACACAUUGGGCCCAGGAGUUCAUACAUAUGUAGCAAGUUUAUUUAUGGAAAUUCUUCAGAAGCUUGCUUGGGAUGAGUGGUCCUACUUAUUAGAAAUGACUUCUCCAACUCCUGUCUACAAAUUAAUGAUGUGCUUUGGAGAAAACAAAUUUAUUUCAGAGAAAGUCUGUGGUUGCUUUUCUUUACUUCUUGCCAUUUUUUCUUUGUUUGAUGUAUCAGAUUUCUGGUGCAGUGCUUUCUUUCCUUGUUUAUCAGAGUUAUUAAUUUAUGGUCUACUGGUGCGCAACAGUUCUUUAAGCUUAUAGUAUCUACUUUGUUGUCAAUAAGAAAGAUGAGAAGCAAAAGUGUGAAGGAUUCUCCUAGGGUAAAACAAGAAUGAUAACCAUUUCAAGUGAGAAACUUAAAUGAGUGAAGAAAAGUUGACUGCAGAAAAUUAGGACGAGACUCUCACUCUGUAUGGGUAAGUAACAGUGUUGAGUUUUAUCUUUAAAGCAAUUAUUAUAUUUAGUUUAUAUUCAGCUACUUCACAUUGUGCAACAUUUUUGCAAUAUAAUGCAGUAUUUUUUUAAUUUAUUUGCUUUUUAUCUUGCCAGCUGGCCUACUUCUUUCCUUUAAUUUCCUUCUUCCUCUGCAGUGUUGUAUUAGAUACAGGAAGGAAAAAUUUCAACUUACUCUAGUUGGCUAGUUGGAAAAAGUGAAUAGCAAAAUCUGAAUCCAGGGGGAAAGGGAGGAAAUAAGUUUAUUUUUCUUUUUCCAGGACAGAAAAUGAUAGCAAAAAAUUUUUUUCAGUAAUAAUCACAUAAUAUAGUAAAAAGUUUUCUAAAGUUUGCUAAGAUUUCUGGACAUAUCUAUAACCAUUUAUACAAAUUCACCAUAUUCUCUGCAUGGAAGCUAUACAAGUCUUUUUCUGCUGCACUGACUUACACUAGAAAAGUGAUGCCUGUAGGUUCUAAAAAGAUGAAUUUCACCUGAAAGACAGGAGUAGGAAGACAACUUACAGUUCUGCAGAACAUCUUUUCUUCAGUGCUGCUACAAAAACUAAUAAAUAAAUAAAAACCACCUAAAUCUUGAUGCUCCUUUCCAGUCUCCCAGGGAAGUUUUAAAUUAGGAGAGGUGCUUGAAGAUUUAGUAAGAAUUUAGCAAAAAAAAUACAAGCACUUAGCCAUCUUUUGUGAUGGAAGUUUAUUCUUAAAAGCUUUACUUCAUUCAUAAAGAUGAAUAGGAAGUUCCUAUCUUCUGGUUUAACACAGUUGAGGCCAAUGAAGGGCAUCAUAUAGCAUAUAUGGAAUAUAUACAAGUCCCUUUGAAAGUAAUGCCUCCUAUUUACUUCCAGGGAAAUGACGACACAUACAAAGAACAUAAUAACUACUGUUACUGUACUGAUCAGCUAGAGCUAUUUCCUCUCCUAGAAGGUUGCUUACAUCACUAAGAAACACUGAAAAUAUAUUUUGAAAUAAGUAAUCCUUAGGGAGCCAGAGAAGUGGUAAAGGACAAUUUGUAUGGGUCUCUGAAAUGUUGACUUCCACGUAAGUUUUACGUCAACUGUGGGAGGUCACGUUGGGAAAGCAGAAUCUCAGAAGUAAGACAGAUCAGAACAUUGUUUCCUUAGUGGAAGCUUGUUUAUAUUUCUUUCACAGAUUUCCAGGGAAAAAUAAGAACUUGAAUUCGUACAGGCUAGCUGUCAAUUUCAUAAAGGCAAAAAUAUUGAUGUUAGAAAGUUACCAUGGAAGUCCUUCCUGAUAUACACUUUAAUAUGCAAAUAUUCUCAUUGCACAUUACAAUAAAAUAGUUUGUUACCAUUAUCUAAAGCAUUAUAUAUUAUACAUAAAUAUAUUUUUAUACAUCCACUAAAUGUGGAAUCACUCAGCUUCUGUAAUUUAUCCUGUUAAAAGAUUUGCUAGUUAUAUAGCAUUCAUGAAUGUACUUACAUUUUAUAAAUGUGGGAAACUAUUUGCCUCUGUUUCUUAACCUCUACUGAAUCUGUAGAGCCAUGAUGUUAUGUACAAAGUAAUAUCUUUAGACUUCCCAAGGCUUUAACCAGCAGAGUUGUCAAAUUAAACUGGGUCAUUUUGUAAAUGUAUCUUUAAUAAGUACAUAUGUCUGUCAUGCUUCCCUACUCAGUCUUAUAAAUCAGACUGUAUCCAGCUGUCAGAUGCUUUCAACCCAGUUGUCCUAGUCUGUCAAGUAAAAAUUAUAGCAUCUAGGUUCAUAUCUAUCUCUGAAAAUAUUUAUUUAUACCAGUGACACGUCAAGGACACACAAUGCUUUUUUUUUAUUAUUUUCCCAGCAACAAAACCAUUAACAGCUGGCUCAAGUCCCUGCAAGGAGGGCAGUGUUAAUAUAUACAGAGAAUUUAUAGUGAAGGAAGACACGGGUCAAACAAAAUAAUUGCUGGAUUGUAUUUUUAAGAAACUCUUACUAAAUUCCAGAUGAAGAGCAUUCAGAUUUAUCUUACUCAGUAUGCAAUAGUAAUUUUAUGCCUUUUAUCAUCCUCACCCUCUGCUCAUCAAUAGAUAAGCCUGCACUCCUGUGUUGCAGGAAUCUUGAGGUUGCCUACAGAUUUGGCCCCUCUUCAGUACCUAAUAGAUAACUAUUGCAGUUCUAAUGAGAAAUUAGGCACAUCAUAAACCACUGCAGUAACUUUAAAGUAGUAAACAAGGUGUGGAGAAUUUGAAGCUGAAGCUCAUCCUAGUUCCAUUGGCUCUUCCUAGGCAGAAAAUAUGAUAUCAAUAGCAGAGUGAUUAUGAACAAAUACUUCAGCUUUUACUCUAGACAUACAAAAGGUAGGAUGAUAAAAAGGUGUAUAGUAAACACAUAUAUGGGUAUUGGACCAGAGUCAUUAUCACAUUACAGAGAAAUAAUGAAAUAAAGAGCUUACCCAUAUCCUGAGCUCACAGAAGAGCUCCAAGAGGAGUGAUCUUCACAUAGAAAUCCUUCCUCCUUGGGAGUCAGCCCCUAAAUGGGGUCUAGGAAGGGUGGAGCCAGGCUCCACCCCUUCCGGUCACUGGGGUGAAAUUGCAUUCACCUGUGCCCCUGUGGCUGACUCAGCGCUCGCCUCAGGUGGUCAAUCAAAGGUUCAGGCUGUGAUUCAACAGUUCCCAUACAAGAGGGAAGGAUAGCUGCUCCAGCAGUCAGAAGUUGUGUGUCCUUCAAAGAGCCAAGGACCAAUGGGACACAUCAGCGAGGACCUGAGUGUUGAGAGUUUCUCUAGAAAUCUGAUACAGUUUGAGUUGACCACUGUUUAAACAAAGUUCGUAACUCUGCUUUCUAUGGGAAAACUCUCUAAUGGAAUUGUUUUCUAUAGAAAAGUGAUACUUUCUCAAAAAUAAUGUCUGUUUCCUCCAUGCCAGGUGUGGAAUUUUGGUGAAUUCAUUGCACAUGGGAAAACAAAAUGGGAAUAGCCCAGGGAGGAAACAUUUUACCUAGCAAUCAUGAAAAGGAGUUAAUCACUUUGGAAUCCUCUCAGGUGGAUGACAAUGAAUUAAAAUUAUCACAAAAUGAAAUCUUUCAUCAGUGGCAUUUAAAUUGUAAUCUUCUUCUCUAUCAAGUUGUCUUGUUUAAGACAGGAUAAAAUAACACCUAUUACAAUCAUUUUAAUAUUAUUAUUCACAAUGAACUUUUGGAGAAUUAAAAUACAACAGAUGAAGUAAAAAUAAAAUAAAAUAAAACCAUCCUGAAAGUAAAUCACUUUUAAAACCGGACCCCUAAAACCAUAUAAAAUGGGUUAGUAUGGGUUCCCAACUAUUUUUUACUAGUAUAUACAUAUACUAGUUUAUAAAUAUAUACUACUUUUAUACUGAUACAGCUGUUUGCUUUUCCUAAAAACCUUGGACUAAUUCAAGCACAACCACUUCAUUUAAAGCAGGAUGUGAUGAAGAGCAGUCCCAUGAAAUACAAUAGGUUGUGAUGGAUGUUCAUCAUGAUCCUUUCUGCCCUUGAGAGCGGUGUAUAACUGAAAUAUCCAUGAACAGUCCACAGAGUUUUGGAAACCAACUAAUUAAGUAACUGCAGUAGUGGUAGGCUUACCAUUUAGCAAAAGAUGAAAGCUAGAGGCAUGCUGAAAAGAAACAGUGCAACAGCUUUAAUUUCUUAAUAACUGGUUAGAGAAAAUAACUGGUCAGAGGAUAAAAAAAAAUGCUCUGAAUUUCAAUCUGUUGAAACUCAGUGUAGAAAGCAGAAAGAGAAAGCAACAACAUUUAAGUUUUGACAAAUUAAGUUUAGAGAGGGAGAGAUGAGAUUAUAUAACAGUACAGUUUCAUCUUGAAAUCUGAAUACUAUGGGAGCACUUAAUACUUUAAAUUGCACAGAUCUAACUCUAUUUCAUUUAUUGACAUGUAUGGGAUCUUUCUUCACAAUUAUUUCACGAAGGAACCCAUCCAAAAGUGGACUGAAGUAGAGUCCAAUGUAGAUAGAGCCAUAUGAGAAAGCAAUUUACUUGUGGAAUUUUACUGUUUUUCUUGGAGUGAUAGCACUCCUUCUUCUCUGGUUUUAAUUCUGAUUUAUUCUUAUUUGUUGUGCUCUCGAAGAUUCAUAGUAAUAAGUAUUUAAAGUGUAUUACAUUAAUUUGCACUUUUGAAUGUUUUUCAUAAUGUUCAAUAUAAGCAUUUUUCCCCAAAUAAACCACUGACACUUUUAUAAGAAAUUAUUGGUGAUUUAAUUGCAGGUGUUAGUUACAGCAAAUUCCCCUUUAACCUUUUGUAGGAAAGGGUGCAGUUCUUGCAUACACAUAAUGAAUUAAUCAUGAGCUUGUGUCUUUGAACAAAAAUUGUAUUUGAAAGAAUUUAUUGUGAAAGAAGUUGUAUCAUACAUAAUGAAGUGUUAUAAAAGCCCUGAAUGAUUUCAAGUGACUGAUUCCACAUUAGGCACUGGGAAAGCUGUGCCUGGAACAGCUAGAAAUAAGUACAGAGGGCCUGAUGUAAAGCACAUUGAAAUCAAUGGAUUUUUUCCAUUGUGUAGAGCAGAUAUAAAGUUUUUCAAUUUCAUGGGAUGGAAAAAAAUUAUUUUAUGGAACAAACACUCACAGAGAAACACAACUCACUUCUUAAAUACAUGUACUUUCUUCUUGAUGUUUUUAAUGGGAAAUGUGUGCAGUGUGAGGUGAGUACAUCAAAUUACCCUGAUUUUUGAAGGGGAUUAGUUAAUUUUGCAGGGAAAUCAAUAUCCAAUAACAGGAACUGAUCAAUAGUGUUUGAGUUUGGUUGAGCAUGCCAAUGAGGCAGUGUGAGAUAUGAGAUUUCAUUGGUUUUCUAAUUCUUUAAAAAUUGAGAGUUGAAGGAGCUGAGACUGUCUCAGGAUCAAGCAUUGAAUUUAUGUCAUAUUUUUUGAAAUCUGGAAAUGAGACAGUGAAGUGUUACUAUAUAUUUAAUGUACGUUCUUUCAGCUGCUGAUGCAGCAUUCUGAACAGAAAAAAAAAAGUGAAAUUAAUGGUUGCAAGCUGAAAGAGGCUUUAGCAGUGAGAAAGGUCUCAAACAGAUUCAUGGUUGUUUUCUAAAAUAUCCACCAGCUUUUGUGUCUUGGGAAACAGCUGCUGCCUCUUGCUUCAGGGACUGUGAGCCAGAUCAUGAAGAAGAACCAUUUUAAGAACAAUUUUGAUCUGCUAUUUCAGAAAUAACACCAACACUUAAUAUUUACUUCCUAGGUGGAGGAUCGCUGCUGCAGAUUUGAAGAGACCAGCCAGAAGAGAAGUAAGAGAAUGGGAAAGAAGACUUGUGCUGAUGUAUCUGAAGGAUGCUGGCUUGCCUUCGGGCUUGGUCUGGGGAGAUAAUCUUCACCACAACUCCCUUGUAUAAAACUAUUUCUUCUGGCUUUCUACUGACUGAAGGGGGAUGGGAAACACUUUGUUCUGUCUUUUUUGUUUGUUUUUUGUUGUUUUCUUUUGACACAGGAUUUUCUUGUGUAGUCUGUAGCAAAAAUCCCAUAUUUCCUCUCAGGAUCGCCAGAUCUUGCAAGGAUAUGGGGGAUUCCUGAUAUGGAAUCAGAAUUUGUCCUCUUUUAAAUUACUUGGUAACGGGAUAUUAUGGUACAAUUCUAUAACUGGCAUGUAUAAAAAAAUCCUGAAAUUGAAAUGACAUAUAAAACUCCUCCUUUAGCAUCAUACUAAAUACUGCCAUUGAUGCUGAAUACCAUUUAUAAUCUUCUUCCAAGUAAACAUGGCUUUUUUGUAACAAUUAUUAAAAUUGAUGGAAAAUGUAGAAGUUCUCAUUUGUGCAUUUCUUGUUGGUAAAAGCUUACAAAAUUGGAAUGCCUAUGAAAAAAAAAUCUGUGCUAAAUAGACUUUAUGAUCUCCUGUUUGAUUUUUUGGCAUGGGUAUUUGUGUUACAUUGUACAAUCACCUUGUAAAGUUCAUUUUUUCCUAACUACAUUAUAGUGCUAUUAUAAGUGCUCUUGUUAAAAUGACACCUUUUUAUGAUAGCACUGUCUGCUAAUAUAGUUACAGUAAGAACUCAUCAACCUUUCCAUUAUAUGUAAACCUUUGUGUUCAAGGACUUAAAACUCUGCUAUAAACACUCCAGGCUAACAUUUGGCUUAUGAAGUCUCAUCCAAAGAGCAAAGAAAUUUAUUAAAAAAUUCUUUCAGGUUUUAGAAAAUAUUUUUAAAAAGCAAAAGCAGAAAUACCGGUUGUGAUCUUAGGGAUGCUUAAAAUUUUGAGAAGGUGGACAGAGAGUAAGGUGCUGGGACAGGAGGGUCAUGUGGGACUGCCUGCUUCCUCUUGGUGCUGCCUGAUUCUGCUCUGUCAGUAUGAGUUCAAGGGUUCCUUUGCAUAGUUUUGUAACCACCAGUUUUCCAGCACUCUCUUCCCAAGCUGCAGGGAAUGAUUCUUAAAUGACUGCUUGAAGACCCUUCAAAGAGUGACUGCCAUUCCUUGCAUGGUGCCUAGGAGGAUUUUCCAAAGCUUUUGUUUUCUUGUGGUGACUGCAGAAGCCCAGGUAUUUGGAGAAUAAAGUGGUCCAGGUGGCUUCCAUCAUCAGGCUGACCUUGAGCAAAUUGCAGCUCCUUUAGUCUAGGAACCAGGAAAGCUUAAUGAUGAUGAAGCUGCCUGCAUUUGACAAUGCUGCAUGUGACCUUUAUUGGCUAAAAUAUCUGUAUAUGUGUCUGGAGGACAGAAAAAGAAUGGCUGUUCUUGGCCACUCUUACAGCCAGUAAUUGCAUGAGCUGAGGGGAGACCAAAAGCAGAUAGAGCCAUGGAUGGUAACUCCUGGUAAAAGCGGGUGGGCUCUAAGACAUAGUCAAUUUUUUAAGGAUGUUUUGUAGGACCUGGCAGAUGCAAACAGUUUUUGCACGUACUUCUCAGCACUGGAAAGAAAGCGUGUGGGAGGACUUCUGUUGCUGGUCAGAAAAAUCUGCUCUAGUGGGAAGUGUUUUAUUAUGCUCAAAGCUUUAUCUUGAAAGCUCCAGGGGUUAUAAAGUGAAAAGCAAAGCAAAACAAACAAAAAAAGACCCUUGACUUUUUCACAAUUAGCUGUGAAAUUUGUGGCCCCUUGAAGGCCUCCCUUUUGCCUGUACCUGCCGAGCUAUUCCCAUGGGAACCCAGGCACCACCUCAAAGCCUGUCUGGGCCUCUAGUCUCCACUUCACUUGUCCAGGAAAGUGGAAAGCUGGUAUUAAAGACACUUGCUGACUGGUAUUAGUCUUUACGCUCUCUGCUUCAUUCUCCUCAACUGUUUCUUGAGAUCUUAGUAUUUCUUUUUCUCCCCAAGGCCCUCUGUGCUUCCACACUGCUUCUUCCUUCAUUAUUCCCCAUUUGCUCGUGCUUCUGGUAUUCCUUCUCUUCUGCUUUUCUAACUUCCUCGUCUGGUGUCCAGUGUUACCAGAACUUCUUCGGUAAAAACUGCAAAGUGCUUCUUGAGGAUUGCGAAGAAACUGCAUAGCAGCUGUUAGGGAAAAAUGGCACCUUUUUGUGCCAUUUUAAUUUUGUUCAAAGCUAUGUUUUAUUUGAUACUUAAAAAAAAAAAAAAAAAGACUUUCAUGAAAGAUAAGGCAGUUCUGCUCUCAAAACUUGCUGGUCUAUGCACCUUUAGGAUCAGUCAAGCCCAAAUGGAGUUCUGUUACAUACGCAUUAGGCUUAUUAUGGAUAUUAUUUGAGUUUAUCACAGAGUGAGACAGAGAGUUAUUCAUGGGACCACCCUGCUUAAGCUAUUUCUUGUCUUAAAGAAAUCAAACCAAAGUAUUCCCACAAGUAUAGAAUGCACUCUGCUGCUUUGACUUUAGAAAAAGACCACCUCUGUUAAGCAGUGAUUUAUUUUUUUUUGUUGGUCUCUUGGGUAACCACUGAUGGCAGAUUUUCCUGUGUUUUCUAUGGUGGAAGAAGUAUAUUUUGAAAUAUUUUGAUUAUGUCUAAUGUAUAUGUAAGAAAAUGUGAUAUAUGGUAAAGUGAUGUAUAGCAAAAAAUAAUAAUAAUAAAUUGAUAUGCAUAUUGAAUGUAUCAAGAAGAGGAAAUGUAGAAGAUAUUUUCUUAAGCAUAAGUUCUACUUUAUUUGGGAGAGAAAUAUUGGAGGGGACGGGAACACUUAGGAAAAUGUAUAGAAAUUUUUUAAUGAUGUGUUGAAGCAAUUUUUCUGAUAAAUAUUUGGAAAAGAUCCAAAAAAAAAAAAAAUUCUGGUAGCAAUAUAUAAUAUUUCUUAUUUUUUUAAUAUGGUUAAUUUAUAUUCAGACUAUAUUAGAAACACAUUUUAUACAAAUUACUUCUAUUUUGUAUGCUCUAAGCACACUAUUGAAAAUCAGUCAAUAUUUUAAUGUUCUUACUGAUGUGCAUAAAUACCCUUAUCCUUUAUCUGGAUCUGCAAAUAAAGAGGAAAAGUGUG